This 86-nucleotide ribosomal RNA is filed under the name Enterobacter cloacae. RNAcentral's name for it is "partial 16S ribosomal RNA". It matches the Rfam family "Bacterial small subunit ribosomal RNA", at positions 1 to 84 of the family's 1533-position model. The record is from RNAcentral. Lineage: Bacteria; Pseudomonadati; Pseudomonadota; Gammaproteobacteria; Enterobacterales; Enterobacteriaceae. RNAcentral also lists the same sequence under 75 other names.
UUAAAUUGAAGAGUUUGAUCAUGGCUCAGAUUGAACGCUGGCGGCAGGCCUAACACAUGCAAGUCGAACGGUAACAGGAAGCAGCU